RNAcentral lists this long non-coding RNA (1313 nucleotides) under Chrysemys picta bellii (western painted turtle). RNAcentral's name for it is "lncRNA (ENSCPBG00000003617.1)". The record is from RNAcentral. Lineage: Eukaryota; Metazoa; Chordata; Testudines; Emydidae.
AUUUUCAUUUUGGUUUCUGAACCUUUAGGGAUGCACUAGAUUCAUAUUUUCACUUUUUUUCCAAAACCACAAGUUAAAAUCUUUUUUUAUUGGUAUACUUAAUGAAAACUGUGAUUCUCAAGCAAUCAUUUGAUUCCAGAAGUGUGUGCUUUCAGAAUAAAAACACCAAAUAUUGCCAUCCUUGUGGUAAAAUUGCAAUAGUCAGUAAAACUGGUUAUAUGUAUUUGUCUACCUAGACACAUAUGAUGCUGGUAUCAAUGACAAUUGCACUUAAUACAGUUAAGGAUGUGUUUACAUUUUUUUUCUGGAUACAGGCCUUAGUUUGCAAGCUGAAAUUACAACCAUUGAUUGACUGUGACCGCUCCAUAAGGUUCCAUAUAUCUAAAGUGGCCUUAUGUUCCAAUGACAAUUAAUACCAUUUUGGACUUCCCAUAUUAUGUACUUUUCAUAACUUUUAAAUUAAAAAAUAAUAAACCUAAUGUCUGUAACUAAUUCUCUCAUUCUGUGAACACUGAAGCACAUGCUUUUUGGAGGUAGCUGCCGUGGGACAUCUGUAAGGUGUUCGGUAGAUACUGCCAGGUUUAUCAGCUGAGGACGUCCUGAUUUUUUGUACCUCACAGGUGGCAACUCUAUUUCAAAGCCUUUUCUCUUGGUAAAUAUUUUCAUACGGCUACAUUUCAGCGCUGUCCUUCAUUCUGACAAGUUUACUUUUUCCCCCUUCCAAACAGGGGCAUCGUUUGCUGUUGGCAGCAAUCUUGGUUCCCCAGCCCCCCAAAUUUUCAUAGCUCCUCGCCAUGGGUUGUGUGAAAAACAGCCACCUGUCAGAUUUAGCCAUCAGGUUUAGCUACCAGUGGUGGUUUCUAAUACUUUCCAUAUCAUGUCUUGCUUUCCCAUCUUAAUUAAUUACCCCCAACUUUCCACAUGGGUAUCUCAUUCAGAGGGCCCUGCCUGCCGCAUCCCUCCUCACCCCCACGAGCCCCCCCCCCACCUGCCACUUGCCACAUCCUUCCUCACCCCCCGCCACUGCGAGAUGCCGCCCACUGCUCGCCAUGUGCCUCAUCCCCUCCAACCCCUCCCCUGUGAGAAUCCCCACCCACCACUCUCCAUGUCUCUCCUUUCCUCUACCCCCACACCAGAUCCCCCCAACUGCCGCUCGCCGCAUCCCUCCUCACCCCUCCUUGCCCUGGAGACCCCUCCCCCACUCACCACGUCCCUUCUCAACCCCUGCCCCUCACAGGGAUAGGAGAGGAGAGGUCUGGUGAGUCGUGGCGGCUGAGCAGGGAGGGGGCAGGGUCUGGGGCAGAGUGGGGGCG